This 501-nucleotide ribosomal RNA is filed under the name uncultured bacterium. RNAcentral's name for it is "partial 16S ribosomal RNA". It matches the Rfam family "Bacterial small subunit ribosomal RNA", at positions 28 to 523 of the family's 1533-position model. The record is from RNAcentral.
GUUGAACGCUGGCGGCAGGCUUAACACAUGCAAGUCGAGCGGAGAUGAGGUGCUUGCACCUUAUCUUAGCGGCGGACGGGUGAGUAAUGCUUAGGAAUCUGCCUAUUAGUGGGGGACAACAUUCCGAAAGGAAUGCAAAUACCGCAUACGUCCUACGGGAGAAAGCAGGGGAUCUUCGGACCUUGCGCUAAUAGAUGAGCCUAAGUCGGAUUAGCUAGUUGGUGGGGUAAAGGCCAACCAAGGCGACGAUCUGUAGCGGGUCUGAGAGGAUGAUCCGCCACACUGGGACUGAGACACGGCCCAGACUCCUACGGGAGGCAGCAGUGGGGAAUAUUGGACAAUGGGGGAAACCCUGAUCCAGCCAUGCCGCGUGUGUGAAGAAGGCCUUAUGGUUGUAAAGCACUUUAGGCGAGGAGGAGGCUACUGAGACUAAUACUCUUGGAUAGUGGACGUUACUCGCAGAAUAAGCACCGGCUAACUCUGUGCCAGCCGCCGCGGUAA